UACGUAGGGGGCAAGCGUUGUCCGGAAUCAUUGGGCGUAAAGAGCGUGUAGGCGGCCCGGUAAGUCCGCUGUGAAAGUCCAGGGCUCAACCCUGGAAUGCCGGUGGAAACUGUCCGGGCUAAGAGUCCGGAAGAGGCGAGUGGAAUUCCUGGUGUAGCGGUGAAAUGCGCAGAUAUCAGGAGGAACACCAUGGCGAAGGCAGCU
Molecule: ribosomal RNA, 204 nt
Filed under: uncultured bacterium
Lineage: Bacteria
Description: partial 16S ribosomal RNA
Rfam family: Bacterial small subunit ribosomal RNA
Source: RNAcentral